GGUUAUGGUUCAGUGGAAGAGUGCUUGCCUCCCACAUAUGAGGCACUGGGUUCAAUCCUCAGCACCA
Molecule: transfer RNA, 67 nt
Filed under: Marmota monax (woodchuck)
Lineage: Eukaryota; Metazoa; Chordata; Mammalia; Rodentia; Sciuridae
Description: tRNA.Gly
Source: RNAcentral